RNAcentral lists this ribosomal RNA (893 nucleotides) under uncultured bacterium. Its description in RNAcentral is "bacterial SSU rRNA". It matches the Rfam family "Bacterial small subunit ribosomal RNA", at positions 28 to 897 of the family's 1533-position model. The record is from RNAcentral.
GACGAACGCUGGCGGCGUGCUUAACACAUGCAAGUCGAACGAGGAUUUUUAUUUCGGUAAAGAUCCGAGUGGCAAACGGGUGAGUAACGCGUAGACAACCUGCCUCUCUGAUGGGGACAACAGUUCGAAAGGACUGCUAAUACCGAAUGACGUAGGAGCACCACAUGGAGCUCCUACCAAAGACAGCCUACUCACAGUGCUGUCGCAGAGAGAUGGGUCUGCGUCUGAUUAGCUAGUUGGAGGGGUAACGGCCCACCAAGGCGACGAUCAGUAGCCGGUCUGAGAGGAUGGACGGCCACAUUGGAACUGAGACACGGUCCAAACUCCUACGGGAGGCAGCAGUGGGGAAUCUUCCGCAAUGGGCGAAAGCCUGACGGAGCAACGCCGCGUGAGUGAAGAAGGCCUUCGGGUCGUAAAGCUCUGUUGUUCGGGACGAAUGGCAGUACGAAGAACAAGCGUACUGCAUGACGGUACCGGACGAGGAAGCCACGGCUAACUACGUGCCAGCAGCCGCGGUAAUACGUAGGUGGCAAGCGUUGUCCGGAAUUAUUGGGCGUAAAGGGAGCGCAGGUGGGAAAGUAAGUCUGUCUUAAAAGUGCGGGGCUCAACCCCGUGAGGGGAUAGAAACUACAUUUCUUGAGUGCAGGAGAGGAAAGCGGAAUUCCUAGUGUAGCGGUGAAAUGCGUAGAUAUUAGGAGGAACACCAGUGGCGAAGGCGGCUUUCUGGACUGUAACUGACACUGAGGCUCGAAAGCCAGGGGAGCGAACGGGAUUAGAUACCCCGGUAGUCCUGGCCGUAAACGAUGGAUACUAGGUGUAGGAGGUAUCGACCCCUUCUGUGCCGGAGUUAACGCAAUAAGUAUCCCGCCUGGGGAGUACGGCCGCAAGGCUGA